AUUGAACGCUGGCGGCAGGCUUAACACAUGCAAGUCGAGCGGAGCGAGGGUGCUUGCACCUUAGCUUAGCGGCGGACGGGUGAGUAAUGCUUAGGAAUCUGCCUAUUAGUGGGGGACAACAUUCCGAAAGGAAUGCUAAUACCGCAUACGCCCUACGGGGGAAAGCAGGGGAUCUUCGGACCUUGCGCUAAUAGAUGAGCCUAAGUCGGCUUAGCUAGUUGGUGGGGUAAAGGCCUACCAAGGCGACGAUCUGUAGCGGGUCUGAGAGGAUGAUCCGCCACACUGGGACUGGGACACGGCCCAGACUCCUACGGGAGGCAGCAGUGGGGAAUAUUGGACAAUGGGCGGAAGCCUGAUCCAGCCAUGCCGCGUGUGUGAAGAAGGCCUUUUGGUUGUAAAGCACUUUAAGCGAGGAGGAGGCUACUUAGAUUAAUACUCUGGGAUAGUGGACGUUACUCGCAGAAUAGGCACCGGCUAACUCUGUGCCAGCCGCCGCCGUAA
Molecule: ribosomal RNA, 501 nt
Filed under: uncultured bacterium
Lineage: Bacteria
Description: partial 16S ribosomal RNA
Rfam family: Bacterial small subunit ribosomal RNA
Source: RNAcentral